GACAGAGGGGGCAAGCGUUGCUCGGAAUCACUGGGCGUAAAGGGCGCGUAGGCGGGAUGGCAAGUCGGUCGUGAAAUCCUUCGGCUCAACCGAAGAACGUCGGCCGAUACUGCCGUUCUUGAGGGAUGCAGAGGAGAGUGGAAUUCCCGGUGUAGCGGUGAAAUGUGUAGAGAUCGGGAGGAACACCGGUGGCGAAGGCGGCUCUCUGGGACGGUACUGACGCUGAGACGCGAAAGCGUGGGGAGCGAACAGG
This 253-nucleotide ribosomal RNA is filed under the name uncultured bacterium. RNAcentral describes it as "partial 16S ribosomal RNA". It matches the Rfam family "Bacterial small subunit ribosomal RNA", at positions 524 to 776 of the family's 1533-position model. The record is from RNAcentral.